This 468-nucleotide ribosomal RNA is filed under the name uncultured bacterium. RNAcentral describes it as "partial 16S ribosomal RNA". It matches the Rfam family "Bacterial small subunit ribosomal RNA", at positions 28 to 507 of the family's 1533-position model. The record is from RNAcentral.
GACGAACGCUGGCGGCGUGCUUAACACAUGCAAGUCGAACGGAAAGGCCCUGCUUGUGUGGGGUGCUCGAGUGGCGAACGGGUGAGUAACACGUGAGUAACCUGCCCUGGACUUUGGGAUAACUUCAGGAAACUGGGGCUAAUACCGGAUAGGAGCUCCUGCUGCAUGGUGGGGGUUGGAAAGUUUCGGCGGUUGGGGAUGGACUCGCGGCUUAUCAGCUUGUUGGUGGGGUAGUGGCUUACCAAGGCUUUGACGGGUAGCCGGCCUGAGAGGGUGACCGGCCACAUUGGGCCUGCGAUACGGCCCAGACUCCUACGGGAGGCAGCAGUGGGGAAUAUUGCACAAUGGGCGGAAGCCUGAUGCAGCAACGCCGCGUGCGGGAUGACGGCCUUCGGGUUGUAAACCGCUUUCGCCUGUGACGAAGCGUGAGUGACGGUAAUGGGUAAAGAAGCACCGGCUAACUACGUG